This 460-nucleotide ribosomal RNA is filed under the name uncultured bacterium. Its description in RNAcentral is "partial 16S ribosomal RNA". It matches the Rfam family "Bacterial small subunit ribosomal RNA", at positions 338 to 795 of the family's 1533-position model. The record is from RNAcentral.
CCUACGGGGGGCAGCAGUGGGGAAUAUUGGUCAAUGGGCGUAAGCCUGAACAAGCAAAGUCGCGUGAGGGAUGAAGGUUCUAUGGAUCGUAACCCUCUUUUAUAAGGGAAUAAAGUGCGGGACGUGUCCCGUUUUGUAUGUACCUUAUGAAUAAGGAUCGGCUAACUCCGUGCCGGCAGCCGCGGGAAUACGGAGGUUCCGGGCGUUAUCCGGAUUUAUUGGGUUUAAAGGGUGCGUAGGCGGCCUUUUAAGGCACGGGUGAAAGUCUGUGGCUCAACCAUAGAAUUGCCGUUGAAACUGGUAGGUUUGAGUAUGUGUGAGGCAGGCGGAAUGCGUGGUGUAGCGGUGAAAUGCUUAGAUAUCACGCAGAACCCCGAUUGCGAAGGCAGCCUGCCAGGCCAUGACUGACGCUGAUGCACGAAAGCGUGGGGAUCAAACAGGAUUAGAUACCCCGGUAGUC